AUUAUUUCUUUAUUUUUAUGAUUUUUUUCAUUAUUAUUUGCGAUAAUUUAAGAAAGUUAAAUAAUCGAAUAAUCAAACUUUAUUUUGUUAUAAUUAUAAGUAAACCAGGCGUCGUCUGCUACCGUGUUGUCAUCACAAAUUGCAAUUUGAAUUUCUUAGAAGGAAAUUAAAUUUAAUAGAUAUUUUUUAUUAUUAUUAUCGAUUCUUAUAGGAAACGAAAGGGAAAAAAAUACACCAAAUAAUAAAUACGAAUUACUUAUUUAUUGGUUUCGUAUAUUUUUAUAAAGUAGAGAAACAAGAUUACAAAAUUUUGUUGUUCCGCAGACGACAAAAGGAAAAAAUACUCUCCGCUAGAGGUCGUUGACCUGUUUGCCGACAUGGCGAUUGUUCCGAAUUUUCUCGCUCUUACACCCUUUCGCUGCGCUUUAUUUUACCAAUUUAUUUUAUUUCACGUUUAAAUCUUUUUAGAAUGAAUUAUUUAAUCAAAUAAAAUAAUGAUUUGAUACAAAAAUCUGAAUUAAGAUCGCCAUUUUUUUUCUUUUUUACCGUAGCAAAAUAUAUUUAAUGCAGUAAUUUUUAUGUAACUCAUUUAGAAUUGCCGAUGUUAUUUUUAGAAGUUUUCAUAAUUUUCUGCAUCUAAUUUAAUAGGCUGUUUAUGAUUUUUCUCUCUUUUUUUGUCAUCUUCUCCCCCAUUUUUCCUUUCCUUCACUAAACUCGAACCAUUAAGAAUGUUAAGUAAUUAGCGUAGUUGAAUUUAAUUUGAGGCUUUUCCCGUGCUAUUUUCUGGUUUAUUUAAUUUCAAUAUUCACUAAAAAUAAAUCAAAAAGAUUUUUAAUCGAGUAAACGAGAUGAUUUAAGCGGACUCGAAUCCGAUUUCUUGUUCGUAAGAGAAGCUUUAACCUACAUUUCCUAUUUAAUAUCAAUGGCUUCUACUCUUCGAACCCCUCUCCCGAUCUCUCUUCCUUAUAAUAUUUAAGGAUAAUGUAUAUAUUUUAAAAUAUUUAUAAUUAAAUUGCGGUUGUACUUCUGUAUUUUUUUUCUUUCUUUCUUUUUAAAUCGCUAAUACACGGUUGAAUGGAGGAGGAUGCAAGCUUGAAAUUAUUUGUCUCUCAGAGUGUAAGUAAAACUUUUCAAGCCAAACUCCGUGCCAAAGUUGAAAGAUGAUAACCCCAAUUUAUCAGAUCGAAUGCUUUUUUAAUCGUAUAUAUUUGGACAUUUUGAUUAGAUACACGCUUUAAAUCAAAAGAUAUGAUAGGCGAGUAACACUCACUCAUAGGAGGUAGUAGAAACUAUUAAAAUUCGGAAAUAAGUUUUCUGUCAGGAGGGAUAUUAUAAAAAUAUCUUUAAUCGAUUAUAUAUUAUCAGGAAGAAAGUUUUGAAAUUUGAAGAUAGAAAAUGGAAUUUACUUUUUGAGAAAAAGAUUCCAAUCAGAUCAAAGUCUGUUGUCUAGAACGUUUCCUGUCCAUUCCUAUUGUUUUAUGUUGUACAUAACCUUGUACUUUGACAGUUCGACCUUCAGACCUAAAGUAGCCUAGUCGAUCACUGGAUAUAGAAAAGGUCUAUUUUGUAAAAAUCUAACUUAAAAUGAUAGUAAAUCAAUUUAAAGAAUCGUCAUCGUAUGUUUAAAAUGUACCGCGCGCUCAUUCCCCGUAGGUAUCAUCGCAGCAACGGAAGAUGGCAAUUCUUAUAACAGGCAGAAUCAUAAGAUAAAUCGGAUAUAUGAUGAUGAAAGUUGUUUAUAAAAGUUAUAGAACUAAUCAUAUCACAGUAAUGAGAUUGUAAUUGUAUAACCUACUUAAGAAGUCGAGUGUGUGAGUGUGUUAGUUUUCAUAUUCCCUUGAAAUAAGUAGAUUUAUAAUUUUAAUAGCUUCCUUAAUGAAAACUUUUCUUAAUCGUUAUAUUAUCUAUCUAUUUAGAAUCGUUUUAAUCUUCCUUAAAUUUAUAAUAUACGGGAUAUAUGCCACCAUAGGGAUCUUAUCGUUUCGAAAAUAUAAUAGGCCAAUUAUAAAUUGUAAUAUCUUUAAAGUAAUGCUCUGUUUAUAUUCGUUUCUUUUACCAAAAUAUUUACAUGUUUUGUGGUUCAAUAUUUGCUUCGUUACGUUGUACAGUAGAUCUUCUUCAUAAACUAUAUGGUUUUUAUAUAGGCUACGUGUGUUGUAAGCGUACAAAAGUUGCACCUAUUGUAUAUUGUGUACGACCCGCCUACGUUGGAAUUUCAUUGAGAAUUUUUCACCCCUGGCUAAAGCUAGCUAAUAAAAGUACAAUUUUAUCGACAUCAAUAACUAAGUCGGUUAGUACAUAAAUUUACGUGAAAAUACGUCAUCAAUUGUUGCUUUUUUUUGUGGAAUUUUGCUUCACUUUAUCUUAAUAAUGUACUAUAUUUUAAUAUGUUUUUCCCCCUCUUUUAUUUAGAUAUGUUUUAUUUUUUGUAUUCAAAGUAUAAAUUUUAUAAUGGUGAAACGUGUCAUAUAAAGAUGAACAAAUUUAUGUUACGCGACUCAUCAAUAAUGUUAAAUCUGAGUAAUGUCCCUCCAUGAAAAAGUUUUCAUAAUUUCUGUUUCGGAUGAUAUAUGGUUUUAAUAUUUUAUAUUUCUACAGUUCGAAUUUUAUAUUUGCUAACGGUAUCCAUCUAUCCCAUUAGGUAUUUAAGGAACCAGGGCAUGGGAUCUGAAGAAAGUUUUACAGGAGGGAGACUAAGCUUGAAGACGUAUAUAUUUUUUUAUUUAAUUAUUUAAUUUUUUUGGGUAUUCACGAGAAAAUUAUAAAAUACAGGAUUGCAUCUAUACAGUAUAUUACUGUAUACAAAUUUACAAUAUAAAGGAAAGAAUUUUUUACUCGAUUCCACGGGGAAAGUGCAUUUACUUCCCUUUUUGAAUGCCCACAACAGUGUCUUAAAAGAAUGGAAAAAUGAAAAAAAUCGUGUAAAAUUUAACAAUUUUUUCCAAUAAAUUUAGCAAAUUAAUUUUUGUUAAAUAUAAAUUUCAAAAAUAACUUCUUUUUUUUCUGGUUUACCGUUAAUAAUGUGGAGAAAGCUCUUAUUAGAAUUAAGGUCACGUUCUCAAACGGAGAAAGUGAUCUCGGGUGAUCUUGACACAAUAUGACUUUUACAUAUUAGCAACAAUUACGAAAGAUAAACCUAAUAUACGAGCAAUAAUUUAUUUAAUAAUUAGAAAGAGUUUAAUACGAGAAAAAUUGCAAGAACCUUGCAAGAAAUUGCCUUUUUACACAGUUUCUUACGAUUAAAAUUAACGAAAAAAUAAAAAAAUCUUAUCUUAACGCACUUUUCUAUCAGUUAAUUCCACGUCAAAACAGAUUUAUUUUGAAAUGGGAAUUGUGUUUACGUGUAAAUUAUACAACUUUUAUGAUUAAAUUAGAUGAUACCCAUCUUUAUAUUGUCUAAUUAUAUUCUAUUUAUAAAUAUAAGUAGGCGAUGCAGAAUUAAUUAGUUCGUGCAUAAUGAUUUAUAAAUAAAUCUCGAUCGUGGGAAAAUGUCGGCCGGUUUAACGACCAGCCAAUAUAUAUUAUUAACAUUGUAUAACUUAGAAUUUACUUUGUGUACUCGACUGUACUUACGUAUGGAUGUAAUAAUAUAGGAAAUACUUCCGUUGUUUACGGGAAUGAAUUCAUUGAUUACGUAAUUCAACAAUUACAGUAUAGUUGCAACAAGUUUUGCUGUUAAAUAAGGUAAGCUUCUAUUUGUCAGAAUCGAUUAAAGUUAUUUUCAGUUUGAUCAAUUGAUUGGACGAUAAGACGUAAUCGAUAGUGGAUGUAUCACACGCAAUUCACAGCUUUUCGUGUUGAUGCAAUAACAACGUUACUAACUUUUUUUUUAAUGUUUUCAUGUUCAGAUAUUUGCUAGAAAAGUUCUCUUUCACCUACAAGGUCUCUAAUUUUACAGGUGGGUUAAGUGUUUAUUCCAAUAAUAAGGUUAAUUUUCAUAAUUUUAGCUUCCUUGUUAAUGAAUUUUAUCAACGUGAUACUUAGGGAACUUCGUGGAAAUUGUGAAAAAGGUAUUGUUAAGUCUGUCCCCAAGAUAUUGAGUUGAGAUACACGCGAUGAAUAUUUGAUAUUUAACAAAUUUAUUUUAUUUUUAACACUACACGAAGCAAAUAUAAAGAAAAAAUAAGGAUGAAUAUGUAAUUUUAAAUCGGAAAUUAAUAUGAUUUUUUUUAUUUAGGAUAGUAAACAGAAAACAAGAGAAAAAGCAAGUGUUGGACACCUUAAGUACGAAAACACCUCCGUAGCUUAUAAGUUAUUCCCCUCCUUUCCAGACCUAACUAAUCGAUCAGUAACCCCUAUCAGACAUUUGGCGUCUGACAGGCGGGUUUAGUUAUAUAAAAUUUCUUCUUAAUUAGAGUAUAGUAAUAUUUAUUUAUUAUUCUAUUCUAUUCUAAUCUAUGGCUUAGUCUCGAUGAUAUAAUAUAGGAAUUGGUCUAGUGUUUCUGUACGUAUGUAUGUAAUUCUACUUAAUGUUUGAAUAUCGAAAUUAUUUUAAUGCUUUGUACGUUAUCGAUCACACUUAGCACCUUAAAUCAAUAUUAGGGAUACAAUAGUUUAAAGCCCUAAUUCGGACUAUAUUAUGAAACGUUGAUGAUGACUGGCGAAUCGAUGACGAAACACACAGUUUAGCCUUGUUUUCAUACUUAAUUUCGUAAUAAAUAUGAAAACUGCUUAUUGUUUUAUAUAAUGCAAGCGUAAUUUAUUGAAUACGUUUAUCAUUUUGUUAAAUAUUACUGUUAUUUCUUACUUUGCAAACCGAAUUUUUAUUGUCUGAGCGUUUUAGUGUAUGGAACUUUUAUUAAGUGGAAGAGCCGUCGGCAAUCAAUUCAAACGUAUACGGUAAAACCUGUCUAAAACGGAAACCGGAAAGACAUUCGAUCGGUUUACGCAGGUUACGCCGUAAUCGUUAUAAAGUUAUUAACACGAAAGCCAUGAAUUAAUGAUUUCGAUUUUGAAAACGGAUGCCAUCCGCGCUGUUUACAUUUGAAAUUUUCUCGACUAAAUUCAUUCAGGAUCAACUAAUUUUCGCAUGGCUGUCUAUCCGUAAAGUAUCGAUCGAAAAUAUUAAUCUAUAUAUCCGAGUAAAAAGAAAAAGCGCAUAAAUUUUCUCCCGUUUUAUUAAAUCAGAAAUACCAAAAUAGAGAGAAGCCCCCUUAACGUUUCUCAAUGCUCGUUUUGGCAAACACAUUUAUCUGCAAGUCUCGUGUACGGAUGAGAAUAAUUUACCGUCAAUAGCCUUUGAUUCCAGACAUUAUUUACAAAUGUAAAUCCAUGUUCCAGGGCAUUACUCCCAAUUCAUUUGCAUUCAUAAACCUACACGGCAUCAUCCCACCAUUGCCACUCUCCCCUCUGAAAUAAAAGGCGAAUUUCAUUUUCUAAUUUUAAAUUUAUCCGCAUCAUAUAAUAAUUUUAAUAUAUUUCUUUUUUUUUCCCCUGUGUUUACGGGCUUAUCGAUUAAGGGUUACGCGUUGCAGGCUCCUAUUGUGUUUUUAAAAAUAGAUCUUAAGCUUAACAAUGUCCUGGCAUACAAAGGAUAUUUAAAAAAAAAUUAAAAUAAGCUUCUAUUAAACACAAUUUAAACUGGUUACAUUAAAAAUAAUUAAUAAAAUAAGUUUAUAAAGAACAUUUAAGCCUUUCCUUUGAGAAGAGACAUCGGUUUGAUCCUGAGAAAAAAUUUUUCAAUAUAGACGGCGUCACCUUGUCGUAACGGAAAAUGAAUGACGUCACUAGUUGGUGUCGUCACGUUCCGACAAAUCGACCAAUGACGUACUAUAACGAGCACGUGUUCUUUUACAUUACAUUCGAUAAUCUCGUCUUAAGGGUCGAUUAAUAAAUAAAACUUUUUAAUCGGAAGUUUCUUUUCGUAAAAUAAAUCUGACUAAAAAUAUUACAAUGGUUGGUUAGUGAUUGUUAGCGGAGGCGAAGGGCCAGUAGUAGUGAUGGGAGCAACGGUUUCUAUAGCAACGCGACUGGUGACAAACACCCACUGGUCAGGCGGAGAAAAAUGGGAGUAAUGUAAGUGGGAUGGCAAACCUUUCAGACUUUCAGGCGAGGGCGUCAAAAGUCAAAGGUCACCAUGGUUAAUACGUGACCUUGCCAAUUUAGUCGAGAUAGAGUGAAGAAAUUUGAUUAUUUUUUUUUUCUUUAUUUAGAAUAACACAGAAAGCUAUCUUCAGACUCUCCACUCUAAUUUUUAGUUACUUUUAAAAAUUUUUAAAUGGGACAAAAUGGCGACGCCUUUCAAAGUUUGUUCUAUUAGAUGAAUGUGAUGCCCAAUUCUGCAGCGAAAACUUCACGUGGCCUCCUCGGAUAAACGCGUAAAGACACAGAAGAGUAAUUUAUAAACAAUACUAAACACAACGUUUAGUGUUACAUUCCGUUGCAGCCACAUUCUCGUGUGUGGCACAUAGUUUUACACUUUUUAAUGGUGUUGUUGGUCGAGAUUAGAAGGUUGACGCCCGCAUCUGAUCAUCGUUUGUUAAACCGAGGAUACAGUUUGCGUGGCUCAAGAUAAGAAAAAUGAAGUAGGCCUAGUAAUAUCAGCUCAACAACUUCGUCUAUCUAAUUGAUAAGAUAACGUCUUUCCGGUUGCUCAUAAUGAUAGUAGGAAUGAAAUAUCGGAGUCGAGGAUUUAUUCACCGGAAAUAUCCUAAUAUUUCAGAUUAAAAAAUAAUGAAAGGAACAAAUUAGAUGGCUAAGAAGAAAGGAAACAGACACAUCUGUACGUGGCACGAAUAAGUGCAGCAAUGUCGAUGCCAUUAGAAGGUUUAGCAUCUAGUUGUAUCCGCUGAAUCUUCUAUAUCGCGUGACUUUAGAAAUAUUAUAAUAAUUACUAUAACAGAAUGUAUUUUAUUAACAACAACUUAAGAAUUUCUUAAGAUAAUGAAUUUGAAUGGUGGACCAGAAACCAUUCGGCAAAUGAGUGUAUGUCAUAUUCUAGUCGGUUUGUUUCAAAGCAUUUAGUAUUUAAGUUAAUAUAUUCCUUUGAUGGGGAGUAAGAACAAUGGAAACAGUGAAAUCCCACGCAUAUUAUGCCUGGGGAAAUUUUCCUAGCCGCACAUUCUGUUUAAAUGUAACUUUCUUGAUUAUUCUGCUUGCUGCUUCUGGGAUUAGCUCAAAUGUUACCAGAUACCUGGUUUAUUAAACAAGUUAAAUGUUUAUUUCGAAAUUAUUACUGGAAAGAUAAAAGUAAUUACAAAAAUAUAAUUUUCGUCUUAUUAAAGACAAUGCGUUUGUUUUGUUUAUUUUGCCGAAAAGACAGCGUAAAUAUUACUUGAGAAGCGAUAAAAUUAGUAUUUCUCACCAUUGUGAUUUAAGAUAACAAUUAAAUCGAUUGUUUGAUAAUUUUUUAAGCAUACAAUGAAUGUGAUGUAACUAUAAGGUUUUCCUCGGGGGACGAUGUGUGAGGAUAGUUUAAAAAGUACAAUCAGAAGAAAGGAAAAUUAAAGUUACCACAAAAUCUGUGGGAGAAUAAGAUACCAUAAAGUACCAUAACAUUCAGAGGAUGAUCUUGGAAGAUUGUGUAGAAAGUACAGUACAAUCAGAAUGAAGAAAAAUUAAGCAUACCAUAAAGCCUGUGGAGGGAUUCAACCUCCCUACAAGAUUUUCCUUUAAGUCUACCGUUGUGUAAUUAGUUUCCGAAUCAGAUAUUCAAAACGCUUCUUAAUAGAUUCGGAAAAGCUAUAUCAUGUUCACAAGGAAUAAAAAUACUUUGAUUUGUUAAUAAAAUUCUCCAUUUAUUUGAGUAUCAAUUUUCGUUAUAGAGUAUCUUCUUCCGCCGUAUUUCUUCCGUCUCGGUCAGUGCUCUUUUUUUUAGAGUGAUAACCAGACAAUGCAAUAUAACUAAAAAGAAAACAAUUUGGCAAACGUCCAGUGUUUCAUUGAACUAAACAAUAUUCUAUUUUAAGUAAUUUCCAUAAGCGAUAUGGAAUCAAUCUUCUUACUCGAGAUAGACUCGAGCUGACAGAAUUUCUUAAGAGGGAAGAGUUAUUCCUACAAUAGUAAUAACUAAAAUAUAUUCCAUUGUUUUAAUCCCCCUCUACACUACAAAAAAAAAAUCGAUUUAUAUAAUUAUUCCAGUAUUACGUCUCGGUUCCGAUGGCCACUUCCGGUUGCUUCACACCUGGUGUCGGACUAACUUCCGGUAGAGGGUGGCAAGUGACUGAGACGAUCGUCAUCGAUUGGAGAAAGUCAAGGUUCUUGACCUCUCAAAAACUUAAGUUUUAAGGUUUUAUUCGUAUACGAUAUUCGAAAAUGUUACGUCACAAUAGUAUAGAUCUUAAUCUGCGUUUUGCGGUUUUGUCUGAUCCCUAACGAUCUUAAUACAAAAUAUUUUAUAGUAAAAAUGCUUCUUAGAGUCUUAAAAAAAAAACGAUAAAUUUCAUCGAUUUUACACUUUUUCUAUAUAAAAUUUCAGGGUAAAUUUCUCGCCGUAUGUAGAUUUAAGCAAAUGAUUCAUGCAAGCUUGCAAAUUACCUUUAUCUAGAAGACAAAUCUAGAUUAUUUGCUUAUUAUUAUUGAUAUUUAGUUGAAUUUUUCGUAAAUUUUACAUGGUCUUAAUUUAGAUUCGGAUACUUAACGAAUGACGGUAUUUGUUGAGCCGAACGGCGUUCUCUUUGACCUCAAAUUGUUUCUAAGUAUGACCUUGUCUACGUUGACCUCUUUAGUUCAUACGAUGUAGUUGGGUGCGGUCCAGUAAUGAAGCGCGACGAAUUCGACGGAAACGGAAAUGAGGAAGCAGAGAUGAUUGGCAUACAAUUGAGAUAAGAAAAUCAUCUCGGAAUUUUUGACGAAAAUUUUUCAUCUAACGAUUUAUGUAUUUUUAACGCUCUAUGACUUUUAGAAGUGUUAAUCUUUUAUCUCGGCCAUUCGCUGAAUGCCAAUGAUCUAAUUUCUAGAAUCUCGGGUUUACAAACCUGAUCGGAAUUCAGAUUGAUCCGCGGUUCGAAAAUCCAAACUGCAGCCCUCAGAUAAUAAUAAACGAUAGUUAAUGAGGUGUAGUUUUUUUUAAUCGAGGAUCAUUAUUAAUUAAAGCUAUCCCAUCAAAAUUGGCAUAACUCUAUUAGUUGUGGACUGUUCCUUUAAGGCCCUAAGAGCAACUUUCACAUAAGAUCUUUUAUGCAAAACUGUGUUUUUGAAUGAAAAAGUCAAUAAAAUCCUUAAAUAAUACCAAAUUUAUAAUUUAUUUAUUUAAUUUGUCUAGUUAAUACACGACUUGCAACGUUAAAUUUCAUGGUUUUAACUGUACAAAUUGAUCGAUAAUGCUGCCAUAAUUGUAUAAUAAUGCCUUUUUAAAAGCGUAUUGUCUUUUUGCUACGUAAUUUUCGAGGCCUCUCGAAGCGACGAGGCCCUCGUCACGCGCGCCCAUUGGGUAAUCCUCCGCCGAACCUUAUCUAAUGGUAAAAGUUACAAGAAGAAAAUAAAAUUUAUUACGAAUAAUUUUUCUAAAUAUACUUUUCUAAUAUUGUAAAAUAUAGGCUGAUAAUAAUAUUGAUCGAUAGGGAAAUUUAACUUCUUUCUGACGAUUUAAAUACGGGUUGUUUGUGUGUUUAGAACUUCUUUGCAGAUCGAUACGUACUUUGCAGGCUCGAAAUAAGGUUUUAAAUUCGUUAAUAUAUAAAUAAAUGCGAUUUUUUACGUGAAAAAUUCAUCUCAAAACUACGAAAUCCGGCCUUUUUUUUUUUUAAAGUUAACGAUUUGCAAGACGAUAUCGACAUUCUAUUUCUGAUCGUAUCUAUAUGAUUCAUAUGCCUGCACUUAAAAGUUAAUUCUUUCUGUCUCAUCUCGUCCAUCUUAAAAUUCUAAUUUCGAUUCGGCUCGGAUCUUUAUUAUAUAUAUAUAUGUAUUUAGGGCGUUGGCAUUUCUAUCGAUAAUCACGUGACGGGACCGAACGUGCGAAACGAACUCUUCGGUCAGUUCCCGCAAUUAAGUAGCGCUUUUAUCUCACGCUCCCUUAAAUCCCGACCUCUUUUAUAAAAGUCGCGUCCAGUUUUGAAUCGGACGGAAUUCAAACGUAACCGACUCUAUUAGCGCGGGUUGCCGCCAGGUGGACGAGGACGUUGAACCAUGCCGGAAGUGACGUCGGCGAGUUGGAAUGCGUCUGAACCCAGUAACUCCGAACAAUUCGUCACGAAAUGCGAUUUCUUACACUCGGCGCCGAACGAAAUUUCGAAACGAUCCGACGAAAUAAAUUCUAAUUUUUGUAACCAUUUACAUAUUAUUUUUGUUUUGUUUUGUUUUGUUUUUUUAAAGUAAAUUUCAGUUCGGGUAGCGUUCGAAAUUUGACCCAUUUUUUUUUUUUUUUUUUUUUUAAAUGUCAGCCUUAAGAGUGGUCCAAAAUUUGCUCUUUCCUGCGUUUUUGGCAAUUAGCGGAUGAGAUCGUUUAGGAAAAAGGCCAGAGUGGUAAUUUAUAGAUUAGAAAAUUUGUCUUCUCCGGAUAUUUUUAGUGUUGCGCAAUAAAAUCCGCAAUCCAGUGGGGAAGUUCAAUAAAAAGCAUAGAGAACGUCUGGCUAACUCACUCGAAAAUUCAUAAAAAUCCACGGUAUCCGAAAAAGAGGAGAGAAAACAAAUAUUUGGGAUUCCUAACAAAAUUUCCUAAUAAUAAUAAUAGUAAUAAAAAUAAAAUUAAAAUUACUGCUCUGUCUCUCUUAAGUUCACAAUUAAAGGGUGAUUCUUAAUUUCCGAAAGCUGCCGAAAUUUUUCGAGUUGAUAAACUCUACUUAUCGUGAAAUUGCCCGAUCGCGCCACGUACAAUUAAUCAUUCAAAAGACGGAAAAAAUACCAAAAAUAACAAAAAUAAAAAUAUAUUAAAAAAAAAUUCGUUGCUGUCGUUAAAACGGGGAAGAAAAAAAAGCGGUCGGAGACUAAAACCACCAAGACAUUCCAGUUUAAAUUCCGUAGAAAAAGUCAAAUCGAUCCGGUAGCAGUCGAGCAAAAUAAAAAAAGAAAAAGAAAAAAAAAGCAGAGCCGCAUUGCUGCCAAAGGGAGGGGAUAGAAAAUGGCGACACACGUGGUGCGCGACCGGCCGAAACGCACGGGUCAUGUGACCUGCAGCGCCGUCGCAAUACGGCACGAGACGCGACUCCUCCCACCUCGAGAUGCUCCAGUCGAGUCGCACGUGUGCAAGGUAAGAGUAUGGGAGUAGGUUAGGCUUAACUAACCUUCCUGGUAUUAACGUCGGGGGGAGGGUGUAUUUCACGGGAUUUUUAGUAAGUUUAGGAAGGACGCACGCUCGGGUUAACGUCGCCUGUUAAAUUCCGGUGUCUUGGCCAGCUUGCAAGGUGAGUAACGCAGUUCCAUUCCAGUCAUUGCUCGCAGUUUAAAAGGUGAGGUUAGAACGUUCCGUAGUUUAAUGUUGACACCCGGGUAGAGUGCAGAGUAUUAUCGAUUCGUCAUCGAAUCGUCUACGCAAUUUGGCGUUAAAGUCGGCGCAUGGUUUCUUAUUGUGUAACUGCGUCGCACGGAUCGACAGCGCGUAAUGUACCGAAAUUCCUAUCGUAUCCUACGCACGCCGAAGGAAAACGGGGUACGUUAGCCCCGGGCGUAAUCUGUCUUGCAACGUCUGGAUCUGGUCGGAUAAUGCCAUAUUAAACAGUUAAAUGUUACGACGCGGAAUGACGCAUUGAAUCGGUUCUUAAAUAUUCACAGCAUUUCCGGUGCCGCCUACCGUAUUACAGAUCACAACUGGGGGAAUUCCUUUGACGUCACGUGACGGAGCUUAACGUAAAAGGGGGGAAACGACGGAAGCUGGGUUUAUAGACCGAACGGGGAUUUCGGGACGUCUUCGAAGGUCCGAGUGACUCUAAACGCAAAAGUUGGUCGAGCAGACGACGAAAAUUUUGCGAUGAACAACCUAGUCGACGGCUAUUACGCAUGCGCCUAACCGAGGGUCGUUUCUGUACGCUUCACCUGAAGUCUCGAUCGUCUCUGCCCGAUCUAGAGGGAUUUUUUAAAAAGUCUCCUCUGUUUUUAACGGUGAGUUUUUAAUUCAUUUACUUCCAAACUCUUAAUUGGGGUUGCAAAUAAACGUUACGCUUAAAGUAGAAAUGAUAUCUUCACACGGGUGAAGAGGAAUACGCAGUUGGGUAAGGAUUGUAUAUUACGCCUUCUACAAGUUGUAGUUAAAUUGUUCUGUGUUCUUUUUUUACUUUUUUAAAGAAGUGUACGGUAGAGUAGAGAAUGACGAAACAGAACUAGCUGCGUUCCGAUGUUGGAAAGGCAUUCUUACCCCUAGGCACAAUCCCUUAAAGGUCGCUGCCCGUUUUGUAUCAAAGGGUUAAAAACAACGCGUCGCUUCCACUAGAAAAAUUUGUAAAAAUUGUUAAUGAUUUUGGCCAUUCCGAGAAUCGUUGCGUGGAACGAAUGCGUUUGUUUCACGAAAACACUCCAGCAAAAUCCAAAGGUUAGUUAAUAUUGUCUUGCAGAAAUCUCCGAGAAAUUUGUAAAACUGCUUACGAAUUUGAACAGGUGCCGCCUGUAACGAGGGUGUACGACUGUCCCGUUUCUUCUUAAAAAAAAAAUUCUUUAUAAAAUUGAUCGAUCGAUAUUUAGUUUUGUUUAAAAGAUUUAUAUAUUGCUACAAUUGAUCGACGCUUGGUGCAAUAUCUUUUUUUUUUAUUUAUUUAUUUCCACUCCUUUGCCUGGCUGCUGCUACAGGUGCGCGAUUUCAAAACUUUGAUUCUUAGUAUGUCAUAUAUUUAAAUUUUAGUGUUGUGGUUGGGAAAAAAAUCAACACCCUAGACAAGUCGAAAUUGGGUAGUGACGAAUCUUCCGAGAAUAGUUCCCUGAUUCAUGUGUUGUUGUACGUUGAGCUCGGAUUCUUGUUACGUAUUUCACGUGUAACAUAUUUAAAAACUAAGUUUUCUAUAAAUGUGCUAAGAUAAGUGGUCUAUUAUUUUCCUGUCUUGUUCGAAAUUUCAUUAGUAUUUCCAUAGUUGGAUCUCUCGUGUUCUUAAGUAACUUUGUACUCAGUGGUGUAUAAUUACGCACCAGCUUAGUUAUGUGCUUCGUAAUGGCACUCAAUUCUGCAAAACUGAAAAAAUUUCAGAUGUAAAUUUCAGCCAGCGGAGAAAUGGUCGAAUUUCGGGUUAAAAAAAAAGGGGAGAACUAUUUAAUGAUGCUUCUGAUCAUGCGAACGGUAGUUAGUAUGCGUGGUACAACCCGUAACGUGCAAGAAACACGAAGGGAAAAAAUAGUAGCCAUGAAACAUUAAUGGGUUGCGUAUAAUGUUGGCAUAGCAACUGGAAAUUAUGCUUGUCGAGAAAGGAUCAUCAUUUUUUUUUGCGCAUAAGUAGCGUUAUGAUUUGGCAGUCAUUAGUCAGAAAAUGGAACUUCAACGAUUAUUUCGAAUCGAAUAUCGAUUUAGUCGCGAAUUGGUUGAGCUUGCGCCAUUUUUCCCCUUCCUUCCUUAGGCGCAAGAGUUCUAUAAACCCUGGCUUCUUGUCCUUAGGUCGAAUACUCAAACGAUUAAAUAUUAAAGAAUCUCGGGCAGUUGGGAAACCAGUGAUCGUGUAAUCAGAGAAAGCGCUGAUAUCAUACUGUUUGUCAGACCUGUUACCGGCGUGUUUUAUAUAUAGUUUUUUUUUCCAGAAGUGCGAAGAAAAAAAUUUCAGUAGUAGUACUUCAGUUGUCUUUACAUGCCUUAUAUGACGUAACAGUCUGCAGUUAGAGUUUUAGAUCUUAAUUAGGCUGCCAGAUUUUUCGCUUGGAAAAGAGGAAAGAGUGGGUGUUCCAACAGCAAUUCUAGAAUAAACUGUUCUAUCUACAAUUAUUGUAAUUGUAAUAAUUAUUGUGUUCCAUUUCUCAUGACCCUUUUAAAAAAAUUUGCAAUACUGUUUUCUAAACGUCUUUUCAAUUGGGUUCAAAACAGGAACCACAACACAGGAUACCCGCUAGAGUUGUACCAACGAAGACUAUUCGAUGAAUAUAUACGGUACUAGACCGUGCUUUGUUUAACUAAGCGGGAGAAUGUGCCAUUAUUAUUAUUAUUUUAUUUUAUCCUGUUAUCGGAUGUCCGUAGCACCGCAAGGUACAGACGUGGGAGUAUCGUCGUCUUCGCUGUGCCGUCUGAAGAAAAAAAGCUGUCACCGUGCUGGUUCUUCACGUGAGACGUCCACAGUAGCUGCUGGACACGGCACAAGAUAUCCGUCGAUUCUUGUGCGUGUGACAGCGGCUAUCGUAUAACGUCAUGUAUCAUCCAGACGGAAGAAACGAUUAAAUAAGAGAACUCCCGGUUCGAAUACCGGAGAUGAUCUGCACAAAAAAAAAGGUAAGAUCGAUUUUUUUUAUUCCGCUAUAGGCAAAUAAUCCUUGUUAAACUUAGCCCAUGUGGUUUCUGUCCCACGAUGCAUUUUCCGAAACGUCUCUCUCUCCUUUAAAAUGACCUUGUAAUAUCUAAUUGAUCACGUGAUAAUAAAUGGGUAUAUCACGUGAUAAAAAUAAUUUUUUCCCCGAUUUAGUUAUUUAUCACGCAUGGCCGCCUUCGCAGUCACGUGACGCAUUCGGUCCUAAGAACGUACGAUGUUUACCGCGUACUUCGAGUAAUAAACCAAAAAGCGAGCGCUGAAACUCGAUUAAUUAUCCAUUUUAUGUAAUUAUAUUUAAGGAAGAGCAUCGGUAAGGGCCCGAGUUUGUAGUGCGACGAAAUACAGCGAAAUAAUGCCCCUGGUGUUCUCAGGUACUUACAUUUACUAAAGAUAUGAAUAAACGUAAGCUAGUUUAAACUAUAUUACGGCAAAAGGAAUAGCAAUGUUCAUCCCAACGCCUUCUCUCGCAAUAUUUUAUUCGUCAGUCUAGACGGUGGGAGUGAAAAUUCGAUAUUGCCAGUUCACUGACACUUUGACAUUAAAACCGAUGAGAGCGUAGCGCCAUCUUUUGUCCGGUAAGCAAAAUUGCCGCUUCGGGUUUCUCUCGCAUGCUUCGGUUAAAUUAACUGCCUGUAAAAUUAUAAUUUCGAUUAAAAACGCACACCACAUUAAAAAAACAAACGUUUUAAAAAUAUAUUGAUAAAUUGACGCCAUUUUUAUUCGGUAAUUUAAGAGAAAUUCAUUGUUAUGCGUCAUAAAACACUUGCGAAACGUUAUAAUUAUGAACUAUUGAUGAUAUUUAGAGUUUUUUUUUCGGCUCGAGCGCAGAAAAAUAUUUGCCUUAAUCCAAUAAUCAUAAUAAUGAUUAACUUUUUAGUAAGAAUUGAUUUUUUCCUCCCCCUGCCAGUUCCAAUAUUUGAUUACAUCUAAGAAUGUGACUUUAAAUAUCUAAAUUUGUAUACGAUAAUGUUAGAAAUUCAGAUUUGAAAUAUGAUUUAAAGCUAUGUUAAAGUAAUAUAAGGAAGUUGAGAAAUUGACCAUUGCCAAAAUCCAAUUACCGACCGCGUUAGGAUGCUAAUGUUCGUGAUGCAAUCGAUUGGACUAUUGAUAAGUACCAGCUUAAACUAGUUAACUUUUAUUUUAUGAAUUAAAAACUUUGAACGU
Long non-coding RNA from Centruroides sculpturatus (bark scorpion), 15467 nucleotides. RefSeq lists it as uncharacterized. The record is from RefSeq and is a predicted model, not a curated record. NCBI's taxonomy places the organism in Eukaryota, Metazoa, Arthropoda, Arachnida, Scorpiones, Buthidae. The transcript has 3 exons.